RNAcentral lists this unclassified non-coding RNA (332 nucleotides) under soil metagenome. Its description in RNAcentral is "partial contains 5.8S ribosomal RNA, internal transcribed spacer 2, and large subunit ribosomal RNA". The stretch from base 1 to 120 matches the Rfam family "5.8S ribosomal RNA", at positions 35 to 154 of the family's 154-position model. The record is from RNAcentral.
GAUGAAGAACGCAGUGAAAUGCGAUACGUAAUGUGAAUUGCAGAUUUCAGUGAAUCAUCGAAUCUUUGAACGCACAUUGCGCCCGCUAGUAUUCUGGCGGGCAUGCCUGUUCGAGCGUCAUUUCAACCAUCAAGCCCUAGGCUUGCGUUGGAGCCCUGCGGCUGCCGCAGGCUCCCAAAUCCAGUGGCGGGCUCGUCGUCGUACCGAGUGCAGUAAACAUCCUCGCUCAGGGAACGUGACGGGUUCUUGCCGUGAAACCCCCCACAUAUCAAGGUUGACCUCGGAUCAGGUAGGAAUACCCGCUGAACUUAAGCAUAUCAAUAAGCGGAGGA